GAACUUGUGGCGGAAUGGAUAGCGCGUUUGACUUCUAAUCAGAGGGUUGUGGGUUCGAGUCCCAUCAAGGUCG
RNAcentral lists this transfer RNA (73 nucleotides) under Hyaloperonospora arabidopsidis Emoy2. RNAcentral describes it as "Hyaloperonospora arabidopsidis tRNA-Arg for anticodon UCU". It matches the Rfam family "tRNA". From Rfam's summary of the family: Transfer RNA (tRNA) molecules are approximately 80 nucleotides in length. Their secondary structure includes four short double-helical elements and three loops (D, anti-codon, and T loops). Lineage: Eukaryota; Oomycota; Peronosporomycetes; Peronosporales; Peronosporaceae. The record is from Rfam by way of RNAcentral.